Molecule: unclassified non-coding RNA, 1484 nt
Filed under: uncultured fungus
Lineage: Eukaryota; Fungi
Description: sequence contains 18S rRNA gene, ITS1, 5.8S rRNA gene, ITS2, 28S rRNA gene
Rfam family: Eukaryotic large subunit ribosomal RNA (bases 545-1484)
Source: RNAcentral
GGAAGGAUCAUUAAAAGUUGUGCGAGGCGGUCCCUGGCACUGCCAGGUGGCCGCUUAGACAUCAACACCCUCUGUAUAUCUACCGCGUUGCUUUGGCGGGACGGCAGCCAGCAGCCCUGCUGGGAAGCUGUCCGCAGGGCCUCUCAAGACCCUGCGAGCGCCCGCCGGAGAACCAUCAAACUCAUGUUAAACCGUGAUGUCUGAGCUUUACAAGCAAUAAGUUAAAACUUUCAACAACGGAUCUCUUGGUUCUCGCAUCGAUGAAGAACGCAGCGAAAUGCGAUAAGUAAUGUGAAUUGCAGAAUUCAGUGAAUCAUCGAAUCUUUGAACGCAUAUUGCGCCCCUUGGUAUUCCGAGGGGCAUGCCUUUUCGAGCGUCAUUACAACCGUCAAGCUCUGCUUGGUAUUGGGCCUCUGUCUCCACGUGGGCGGGCCUCAAAGUCAUCAGCGGCUGAGAGAACGGCAUUCUAGCGUAGUAGAAAUUAACUCGCUGGGGACCGACCUCAGGUAGCUGUCAAACACGCGCCUUCGCGCAAAUCUAAGGUUGACCUCGGAUAAGGUAGGGAUACCCGCUGAACUUAAGCAUAUCAAUAAGCGGAGGAAAAGAAACCAACAGGGAUUGCCUCAGUAACGGCGAGUGAAGCGGCAACAGCUCAAAUUUGAAAUCUGGUCCUUUCAGGGCCCGAGUUGUAAUUUGGAGAGGAUGCUUCGGCUGCGGCCCUGGUCUAAGUUCCUUGGAACAGGACGUCACAGAGGGUGAGAACCCCGUACGUGGCUGGGUGCCUAUGCCAUGUGAAGCUCCUUCGACGAGUCGAGUUGUUUGGGAAUGCAGCUCUAAACGGGAGGUAGAUUUCUUCUAAAGCUAAAUACCGGCGAGAGACCGAUAGCGCACAAGUAGAGUGAUCGAAAGAUGAAAAGCACUUUGGAAAGAGAGUUAAAAAGUACGUGAAAUUGUUGAAAGGGAAGCGCUUGCAACCAGACUUGGACGUAGUUGCUUAGCUGGGCUUCUGCCCGGUGCACUCUUCUGCGCCCAGGCCAGCAUCAGUUCAGGCGACCGGAUAAAGGCCUUGGGAAUGUAGCUCCUCUCGGGGAGUGUUAAAGCCCUCGGUGCAAUGCGGCCUGCCUGGACUGAGGUCCGCGCUUCGGCUAGGAUGCUGGCGUAAUGGUUGUAAGCGGCCCGUCUUGAAACACGGACCAAGGAGUAUAACAUCUAUGCGAGUGUUUGGGUGGAAAACCCAUGCGCGUAAUGAAAGUGAACGGAGGUGGGAGCCCUCGGGCGCACCAUCGACCGAUCCUGAUGUCUUCGGAUGGAUUUGAGUAAGAGCAUAGCCGUUAUGACCCGAAAGAUGGUGAACUAUUCCUGAAUAGGGUGAAGCCAGAGGAAACUCUGGUGGAAGCUCGCAGCGGUUCUGACGUGCAAAUCGAUCGUCAAAUUUGGGUAUAGGGGCGAAAGACUAAUCGAACCAUCUAGUAGCUGGUUCCUGC